This 253-nucleotide ribosomal RNA is filed under the name uncultured bacterium. Its description in RNAcentral is "partial 16S ribosomal RNA". It matches the Rfam family "Archaeal small subunit ribosomal RNA", at positions 474 to 727 of the family's 1478-position model. The record is from RNAcentral.
UACCAGCACCCCGAGUGGUCGGGACGUUUAUUGGGCCUAAAGCAUCCGUAGCCGGUUCUGCAAGUCUUCCGUUAAAUCCACCUGCUUAACAGAUGGGCCGCGGAAGAUACUAUAGAGCUAGGAGGCGGGAGAGGCAAGCGGUACUCGAUGGGUAGGGGUAAAAUCCGUUGAUCCAAUGAAGACCACCAGUGGCGAAGGCGGCUUGCCAGAACGCGCUCGACGGUGAGGGAUGAAAGCUGGGGGAGCAAACCGG